Oreochromis niloticus (Nile tilapia) is the source of this 1064-nucleotide long non-coding RNA. RefSeq lists it as uncharacterized. The record is from RefSeq and is a predicted model, not a curated record. NCBI's taxonomy places the organism in Eukaryota, Metazoa, Chordata, Actinopteri, Cichliformes, Cichlidae. The transcript is spliced from 2 exons.
AGACUUUUCAGUUUACUAAAUGAAGUUUUAAUGAAGUAGUUUCAUCACAAUUUGAGGUUCGUGCGAUGGAGUUUACUUCAGUUUUAUAUAUGCAGCACCAAACUGCACGUGAAGUGAGGUCAGGGUGGAGGAAGAGCUCACAACACCUCCAGAAAAAAAAAGUCUUUGCAGAAAAGCGUCUUUUACGUGUGAGUGCACAGAGGUAGACGAGUAAAUGCUCUGAACCUGAAGAUCGGAGGUGAAAUGAAAGCCUCCUGAGCUGGUAACGAUAACCACCACGGAAAACAACUUUUAGAUGCAGGACGUAACCACAAAGGCAUCACAUCAGUCCUCCCUCAAUCUCAUCCUUAUGAAGAAAACCCUGUUAGGGUCCCUCCCUGGAGGAGCCACCUGGGGGCGCCACAGACCAAGCAAGGUCCCUCUUUCCCAUCAAACACGAGACAGACAGCAGACUAUAAGUAAAGACAUUUACAUUAUACGAUUCAUGAGGUCAAACAAAUGAAUGAGGCUGGGAAGGCUGUUUUAAUAGUUUAAUAGUUUAAGUUCAAAAAAAUAUGAAUUUGCCACCAACUCUUCCCCAGAGACUUCCAGCCUUGUCGUAUGGGACGCCUUUAAGGCGUAUAUCAGAGGCCAGAUUAUUGCUUAUUCAGCAAGAAUGAAAAAACAGUCCACCCAUGAAAGAAAUAAGUUAAUGCAACAAAUUAAGGAGACCGAUGAACAGUAUGCUCUCAAACAGAGUCAUGAAAUAUUUAAAAAGCGUGUAGAACUUAAAACAAGACUUGACCUACUCACAAUGUACUCGACUGAACGUUUACUCUUACAUGACAAAUCCAGAUUUUAUAUGCAUGGUGACAAACCUGAUAAAUUACUGGCGAGCCUUCUAAAAGGUUCUAGGGCAAGGCAAAGUAUUCCUAAAAUUCGACAACAAGAUGGCAACGUAGUCACAGAUCACGAAAAAAUCAAUGAAGUAUUCAGGGAUUUUUACUCACAGCUUUACACCUCAGAGUCCCAAACUGACUGCAGUGCAAUUAAUGAGUUCUUAGCUAAACUUGACAUUCCUGAAA